This 229-nucleotide ribosomal RNA is filed under the name uncultured bacterium. RNAcentral's name for it is "partial 16S ribosomal RNA". It matches the Rfam family "Bacterial small subunit ribosomal RNA", at positions 568 to 796 of the family's 1533-position model. The record is from RNAcentral.
UGCGCAGGCGGAAUGAUAAGUCAGUGGUGAAAUCUCCCGGCUCAACCGGGAAACUGCCAUUGAUACUGUCGUUCUUGAGUACAGUUGAAGUGGGCGGAAUGUGUCAUGUAGCGGUGAAAUGCAUAGAUAUGACACAGAACACCGAUAGCGAAGGCAGCUCACUAAACUGUAACUGACGCUCAGGCACGAAAGCGUGGGGAGCAAACAGGAUUAGAUACCCUGGUAGUCC